This 484-nucleotide ribosomal RNA is filed under the name uncultured bacterium. RNAcentral's name for it is "partial 16S ribosomal RNA". It matches the Rfam family "Bacterial small subunit ribosomal RNA", at positions 30 to 507 of the family's 1533-position model. The record is from RNAcentral.
AUUGAACGCUGGCGGCAGGCCUAACACAUGCAAGUCGAGCGGAUGAAGGGAGCUUGCUCCUGGAUUCGGCGGCGGACGGGUGAGUAAUGCCUAGGAAUCUGCCUGGUAGUGGGGGAUAACGUCCGGAAACGGGCGCUAAUACCGCAUACGUCCUGAGGGAGAAAGUGGGGGAUCUUCGGACCUCACGCUAUCAGAUGAGCCUAGGUCGGAUUAGCUAGUUGGUGGGGUAAAGGCCUACCAAGGCGACGAUCCGUAACUGGUCUGAGAGGAUGAUCAGUCACACUGGAACUGAGACACGGUCCAGACUCCUACGGGAGGCAGCAGUGGGGAAUAUUGGACAAUGGGCGAAAGCCUGAUCCAGCCAUGCCGCGUGUGUGAAGAAGGUCUUCGGAUUGUAAAGCACUUUAAGUUGGGAGGAAGGGCAGUAAGUCAAUACCUUGCUGUUUUGACGUUACCAACAGAAUAAGCACCGGCUAACUUCGUG